This 465-nucleotide ribosomal RNA is filed under the name uncultured bacterium. RNAcentral describes it as "partial 16S ribosomal RNA". It matches the Rfam family "Bacterial small subunit ribosomal RNA", at positions 28 to 507 of the family's 1533-position model. The record is from RNAcentral.
GACGAACGCUGGCGGCGUGCUUAACACAUGCAAGUCGAACGGAAAGGCCCUGCUUGCAGGGUACUCGAGUGGCGAACGGGUGAGUAACACGUGGGUGAUCUGCCCUGCACUUCGGGAUAAGCCUGGGAAACUGGGUCUAAUACCGGAUAGGAGCCAUUUUUAGUGUGAUGGUUGGAAAGUUUUUUCGGUGUAGGAUGAGCUCGCGGCCUAUCAGCUUGUUGGUGGGGUAAUGGCCUACCAAGGCGGCGACGGGUAGCCGGCCUGAGAGGGUGGACGGCCACAUUGGGACUGAGAUACGGCCCAGACUCCUACGGGAGGCAGCAGUGGGGAAGAUUGCACGAUGGGCGCAAGCCUGAUGCAGCGACGCCGCGUGGGGGAUGACGGCCUUCGGGUUGUAAACUCCUUUCGCUAGGGACGAAGCUUUUUGUGACGGUACCUAGAUAAGAAGCACCGGCUAACUACGUG